RNAcentral lists this ribosomal RNA (280 nucleotides) under uncultured bacterium. RNAcentral's name for it is "partial 16S ribosomal RNA". It matches the Rfam family "Bacterial small subunit ribosomal RNA", at positions 15 to 292 of the family's 1533-position model. The record is from RNAcentral.
GAUCCUGGCUCAGGAUGAACGCUAGCUACAGGCUUAACACAUGCAAGUCGAGGGGCAUCAGUUUGGUUUGCUUGCAAACCAAAGCUGGCGACCGGCGCACGGGUGAGUAACACGUAUCCAACCUACCUCAUACUCGGGGAUAGCCUUUCGAAGAAAGAUUAAUAUCCGAUAGCAUAUAUUUCCCGUCCAUGGGUUUUAGUUAUUAAAGUAAAAUUAACGGUUAGUUGAGAUGGGGAGGUGCGGUUCCUACUUAGUUUUAGUUUGGGGGGGUUAACGGGGG